This 844-nucleotide ribosomal RNA is filed under the name uncultured bacterium. Its description in RNAcentral is "bacterial SSU rRNA". It matches the Rfam family "Bacterial small subunit ribosomal RNA", at positions 56 to 905 of the family's 1533-position model. The record is from RNAcentral.
UGCAAGUCGAGUGCGCGUCCGUAGCAAUACGGAUGGCGCACGGCGCACGGGUGCGUAACACGUGGGCAAUCUGCCCUUCGAUGGGGAAUAACUCCGGGAAACCGAAGCUAAUUCCGCAUAACAUUCCUUGGACCUCGGUUCGAGGACUCAAAGCCGUAAGGCGUCGAAGGAGGAGCCCGCGCCCGAUUAGCUAGUUGGUGAGGUAACGGCUCACCAAGGCAAUGAUCGGUAGCUGGUCUGAGAGGAUGGCCAGCCACACUGGAACUGAGACACGGUCCAGACUCCUACGGGAGGCAGCAGUGGGGAAUCUUGCGCAAUGGGCGAAAGCCUGACGCAGCGACGCCGCGUGGGGGAUGAAGCAUCUCGGUGUGUAAACCCCUUUCGACUGGGACGAAUGCCUCGCAAGAGGAGUGACGGUACCAGUAGAAGAAGCCCCGGCUAACUACGUGCCAGCAGCCGCGGUAAGACGUAGGGGGCCAGCGUUGUUCGGAAUUACUGGGUGUAAAGGGUUCGUAGGCGGUGUGGCAAGUCGGGAGUGAAAUCUAUGGGCUUAACCCAUAGGCUGCUUCCGAAACUGCCGUGCUUGAGUGUGGGAGAGGCGCGUGGAAUUGCAGGUGUAGCGGUGAAAUGCGUAGAUAUCUGCAGGAACACCCGUGGCGAAAGCGGCGCGCUGGACCACUACUGACGCUGAGGAACGAAAGCUAGGGGAGCAAACAGGAUUAGAUACCCUGUAGUCCUAGCCCUAAACGAUCAGGACUUGGGGUGCACCCGUUCGGGUGUCGUCCCGGAGCUAACGCGUUCAGUCCUGCACCUGGGGAGUACGGUCGCAAGACUGAAACUCAAA